GAUGAACGCUGGCGGCGUGCCUAAUACAUGCAAGUCGAGCGAACGGACGAGAAGCUUGCUUUUCUGAUGUUAGCGGCGGACGGGUGAGUAACACGUGGAUAACCUACCUAUAAGACUGGGAUAACUUCGGGAAACCGGAGCUAAUACCGGAUAAUAUUUUGAACCGCAUGGUUCAAUAGUGAAAGACGGUCUUGCUGUCACUUAUAGAUGGAUCCGCGCUGCAUUAGCUAGUUGGUAAGGUAACGGCUUACCAAGGCAACGAUGCAUAGCCGACCUGAGAGGGUGAUCGGCCACACUGGAACUGAGACACGGUCCAGACUCCUACGGGAGGCAGCAGUAGGGAAUCUUCCGCAAUGGGCGAAAGCCUGACGGAGCAACGCCGCGUGAGUGAUGAAGGUCUUCGGAUCGUAAAACUCUGUUAUUAGGGAAGAACAAAUGUGUAAGUAACUAUGCACGUCUUGACGGUACCUAAUCAGAAAGCCACGGCUAACUACGUG
Molecule: ribosomal RNA, 497 nt
Filed under: uncultured bacterium
Lineage: Bacteria
Description: partial 16S ribosomal RNA
Rfam family: Bacterial small subunit ribosomal RNA
Source: RNAcentral